Long non-coding RNA from Carassius carassius (crucian carp), 784 nucleotides. RefSeq lists it as uncharacterized. The record is from RefSeq and is a predicted model, not a curated record. The transcript has 2 exons. Lineage: Eukaryota; Metazoa; Chordata; Actinopteri; Cypriniformes; Cyprinidae.
CGGGUCACUGUGCUGCUGUGGAUCUCACUGCUCAGUGGGGGGCAGCAACACACUUACUACAUUUCUGGGUUGUUGAUUCAUAAUAAAAUAUUACAAUGUGUAUCUACACGGAUCCAUUUGUUGUAAAAUUCUGCCUGUAAAUGUUUCUGGGAAACGAUAUCGUUCACGCACGAAAUGGUUUGGUGCGAAGAUGUUUAUUUGAAAUGCGAGAGCAAGAUGAGGAAUCUUCAUGAAAGUGAUGACAUGAGCAAACACCACAAGAACAUCUGGCAUCCCUCCCUUCAUCUCUCACCUGUUUCUCAGGACCUUGAGCUCCUAUAAAUGGCACCUCUUGAAAGAUGUUGAUGCAGGCAGUGUUUGAGCAGCCUGCCCAUUUCCUGGCCAGGAAAGACAGUUUGCUUAAGCUGCUUGAUUUCUCAGAGGGUUGAGAAGUUUGCCACUUGCAUCUUCUGCUUAUGUAGCAUCACGCUGAACCCCUGUGAACCUCUACAGCUUCACAAAGAACGCCAUGGGAAUAUUCUCUCUGUGUACUGCUCAACAUAUCAUCACAAAAAGGAUGUCAAACAAAUGUGUUUAUCUUUGCUUUUAACUGCUCCUGAUCCAGUAGCGGUGAACAUUACAUACAUUAUGUAUUAACUAGCCUACAUACGAUUUAUAACCUGGGAAACAGACAUUUUCUUCGUUCCAUAAUUACAGAAUUGCGAUCUCCUGAGUCCUGAAAACAACUCGGAACACAGCAGCUUGAUUGAUAGUUUUGUGGGAAUAAAGAUUCAGUGUUCAUUUC